This 665-nucleotide small RNA is filed under the name Sus scrofa (pig). RNAcentral's name for it is "partial bcl-2-like protein 2 transcript variant 7". Lineage: Eukaryota; Metazoa; Chordata; Mammalia; Artiodactyla; Suidae. The record is from RNAcentral.
CUCCUCCCUCCUUCCUUCCCUCCCUUCCUCCCUCUCUCCCUCCCUCCUAGCUCCUGCACCAGGAAACGGCCCGGAUCCCGGCAGCGGCCUGACCCCGGCCUCAGCCCCAGACACACGGGCUCUAGUGGCAGACUUUGUGGGCUAUAAGCUGAGGCAGAAGGGUUAUGUCUGUGGAGCUGGCCCCGGGGAGGGCCCAGCAGCUGACCCGCUGCACCAAGCCACGCGGGCAGCUGGAGAUGAGUUCGAGACCCGCUUCCGGCGCACCUUCUCAGAUUUGGCAGCUCAGUUGCAUGUGACCCCGGGCUCGGCGCCGCCUUGUGGCCUUCUUUGUCUUCGGAGCUGCACUGUGUGCUGAGAGUGUCAAUAAGGAGAUGGAGCCACUCGUGGGACAAGUGCAGGAGUGGAUGGUGACCUACCUGGAGACACGGCUGGCCGACUGGAUCCACAGCAGUGGGGGCUGGGCGGAGUUCACAGCUCUAUACGGGGACGGGGCCCUGGAGGAGGCGCGGCGUCUGCGGGAGGGGAACUGGGCCUCAGUGAGGACAGUGCUGACGGGGGCCGUGGCACUGGGGGCCCUGGUAACUGUAGGGGCCUUUUUUGCUAGCAAGUGAGAAAGUCCAGGGCCAGGUGGGGCUAGGUGUGGCUGGGGGACAGGAGAGCAGGAA